This 442-nucleotide ribosomal RNA is filed under the name uncultured prokaryote. RNAcentral's name for it is "bacterial SSU rRNA". It matches the Rfam family "Bacterial small subunit ribosomal RNA", at positions 355 to 796 of the family's 1533-position model. The record is from RNAcentral.
UGAGGAAUCUUGGGCAAUGGGGGAAACCCUGACCCAGCCACGCCGCGUGGAGGAAGACACCCCUAUGGGGCGUAAACUCCUUUUGUGUGAGAAGAAGGUCCCGUUCGUCGGGAUUUGACGGUACCACACGAAUAAGCACCGGCUAACUCCGUGCCAGCAGCCGCGGUAAUACGGAGGGUGCAAGCGUUGUCCGGAUUUAUUGGGUUUAAAGGGUACGUAGGCGGGCUGUUAAGUCUGAGGUGAAAGCUCCUGGCUCAACCAGGAAAUUGCCUUGGAUACUGGCAGUCUUGAGUACAGUAGAGGUGGGCGGAAUUCAUGGUGUAGCGGUGAAAUGCAUAGAUACCAUGAGGAACACCGAUAGGGAAGCCAGCUCACUGGACUGUUACUGACGCUGAGGUACGAAAGCGUGGGGAGCGAACAGGAUUAGAUACCCCUGUAGUCC